Long non-coding RNA from Elgaria multicarinata webbii, 1071 nucleotides. RefSeq lists it as uncharacterized. The record is from RefSeq and is a predicted model, not a curated record. Lineage: Eukaryota; Metazoa; Chordata; Lepidosauria; Squamata; Anguidae. The transcript has 2 exons.
CGCUCACCCACCUGCCGCUGGGCGUUGAAGUCCGUCAGGCAAAAGAGAUUGCACAGCUAUUCUGUCUUGCCCUCCUUUUCUGUGAUAAGUGAUAAGACAGAAGAAGCGGAGGGAAAAUGCAGAAGGGCUACAACUGGAAGAUGCCAUCUGGAUCCCACCUAAAAUUCUGGGACGGCAAAAGAAAAGCCACAUCCGGAAGCGCCCCCUAUGGGGCGAACACAACGUCAAGCAAAGUUGCCUGGUCAGAUGGAGCAACUGCCUGUGCAAACAGGUUGUGACAACAGUGUGGGUCUAUAGCAGUUCAGCGGGAGGUCUUGGAGUCUUGGCCCCCUUUUUUAGAUUCAUUGCCUUUUACAUCGCCCUCUCUUUGGGCUAGCUCUUUCCUCUGUCCAGGGUUUCUUUUCGGCAUUUCUCAACAAAGGCACCAUCCCAUAUUUUUACUGGAUGCUUCAAGGAGCUGUCCAAUUUAUGUGAUUUGGCAUGUCAUAAGAAAAGAAUCCUUCAAGCAGCUUCAUGGUUCAAACUGGUUCAACCGUCUUUCCAUUUUUAUCUCAGCCAUCCUUAGACAGUUUGGCAUCCUUGGCAAAAUAUUGUAUUUCUCUUUCCGUCCUGGCACCUGAUCCUGGAGUUUAGCCCACCCUUCUUCUAAAGACCAUAGGCGUCUGCAAAGGGGGGUGCUGGGCCUGUCCAGGCACACCCUAAUGCCUCAAGCAAUAAGUGCUGGAUUGAGGGGGCCAUUAAGUCGAGAUCCAGACACAGUGGGAAUGGCUCUCUAGCUGCUCCGCUGCCACCAUCUCUGACAGCGGACCAUUGAUCCCGGAAGCAGGAGCAAAAAGGAAUCGCUCUAUUAGGAGGCACACUUCAAAGAGGCCAGGAGGAGAACCCCCAAAGGCUCAUAUCGCCUCCUAAGUCCCUCCUCCAGCCAGUGUCACCACAAAGCCCCACCAAUGCUGGGGGAGCCUUUUCUCUCCCCCCCCCUUGCAAUGGCCCUCCCAUGAUCAGGCAAGCUGAACGCAGAGUCGGGCAUCAGUGUCUACAGUGUUUAAUAAAUAAAUGAAUAAAAAUAAUGUC